This is a long non-coding RNA of Onychomys torridus (southern grasshopper mouse), 1044 nucleotides long. RefSeq lists it as uncharacterized. The record is from RefSeq and is a predicted model, not a curated record. The transcript has 3 exons. Lineage: Eukaryota; Metazoa; Chordata; Mammalia; Rodentia; Cricetidae.
CCCUUCAGCUUGACGUCUUCUCAAAACGCUACCUGACAGACUGCCGCCAUCACCCCGUGAAUGAGGUGAAGAGUCAAAAAUAACCUUGAUGAGCUGUGGUGGAGUUUGCUGUUAUUUAUUCCUGGGAGUCAGCUGACUGCUCCUGAGCAUGUAUAGCACACCUGCUGCGCUAUACAAGUGCCUUCCAUCAUGGAGCAUCUCUCAAGAGAGGAAAUGGUCAGCAGAGACUAAAAGAGGAAACAAACAACUGGGACCAUAGCAACAAGGAGAGCAGAUAGUGCUGAGCUGGGAAUCCUAACUGGAUCUUAACAACAACGACAAUGUUCAACGCUUCUUGCUAGGGUUUGCUCCCUUUGAAGCUUAUGUUGAAAUUUGAUUGGCAGUUUGGGGGGUGGGGACGUUAAGCGGUGAUUAGGAUUCCAAGAGGAAUGAAAACCUAUCUCAGAGUCGGGCAAGGUUAUACCUUAUGUUCUGACAGCCCCACCCCCAUCCAUCCAAUUGCCCUUCUGCUUCCUGCCCUGAGGUGAGGCCACAGAAGGCCUUUGCUAGGAGCCCACUCUCAGGGGCCACCUUGGCACUAAUGGAAUCAUGGGAGUCCCUCCCCUUGUGACCUCACGUAAUGUUAACUACCUUUCAUGAACUCACUUUCCAAUACCUUUAACAUGGUAAGCCAGCAUUUGCCCAGAUUCUUGCCUGCUCUCAUAUGAAGCUUCAUCAUAUCAAUAGGCCUCAUGACAGCACUCACUGAAUGCCACAACAUAACCUUAAGUGUCCCAACCCCCAGAACUGUGAACUAAAUAAGCUUCUUUAUCAUAACAUACCCACACCCAGAGGUCAUCUUCUUGCUGUGAAAUGGACGAGGGCACUGCUCUAUUUUGUCUCUGGUAUACCAGGCUUAGGUUUUGUUUGGAAAGUGUUAGAAAUUAAACUCAAGAGGCUACCGCAGUUAGCCUUCUAAAGUUAAAUAAGACAGAAAAAGAACCUGUGUUUUUAAAAGAUCUGAUUUUUUUAAACAAUAGAAACCUUAUCUUAAAACUCUUGCUA